GUGGGGAAUUUUGGACAAUGGGCGAAAGCCUGAUCCAGCAACGAUGCGUGGAGGAUGAAGGUUCUCGGAUUGUAAACUCCUUUUAAGGGGGACGAAACAAAUGACGGUACCCCUUGAAUAAGCCACGGCUAACUACGUGCCAGCAGCCGCGGUAAGACGUAGGUGGCGAGCGUUACUCGGAAUUACUAGGCGUAAAGCGCGCGUAGGCGGAAUGUUAAGUCUGUUGUGUAAUCUCCGGGCUCAACCCGGAAACUGCAACAGAAACUGGCGUUCUUGAGUGAGGCAGAGGAAAUCGGAAUUCCCAGUGUAGCAGUGAAAUGCGUAGAUAUUGGGAGGAACACCGGUGGCGAAGGCGGAUUUCUGGGCCUUUACUGACGCUAAAGUGCGAAAGCUAGGGGAGCAAACGGGAUUAGAAACCCUUGUAGUCC
Molecule: ribosomal RNA, 428 nt
Filed under: uncultured bacterium
Lineage: Bacteria
Description: bacterial SSU rRNA
Rfam family: Bacterial small subunit ribosomal RNA
Source: RNAcentral